This 273-nucleotide ribosomal RNA is filed under the name uncultured bacterium. Its description in RNAcentral is "partial 16S ribosomal RNA". It matches the Rfam family "Bacterial small subunit ribosomal RNA", at positions 524 to 796 of the family's 1533-position model. The record is from RNAcentral.
UACGAAGGGUGCAAGCGUUAAUCGGAAUUACUGGGCGUAAAGCGCGCGUAGGUGGUUCAGCAAGUUGGAUGUGAAAGCCCCGGGCUCAACCUGGGAACUGCAUCCAAAACUACUGGGCUAGAGUACGGUAGAGGGUGGUGGAAUUUCCUGUGUAGCGGUGAAAUGCGUAGAUAUAGGAAGGAACACCAGUGGCGAAGGCGACCACCUGGACUGAUACUGACACUGAGGUGCGAAAGCGUGGGGAGCAAACAGGAUUAGAUACCCCAGUAGUCC